AAACAGGAAAUAAAAAUAAUUUAAUACAAAACUUUUUGUACCUUCACCUUUAUAAUGGACAUCUACUCACAUUUUUUCAUAUUCAUAUUUGCCAUUUCUCCAGGCUUAAUUAUAAGUGAUUCAGUCACUAAUACUGAAAAAGAAGUCUCAAGUGCAGAAGGUUUGGCUGUGACACUGAAUUGCAGCUACUCAACAACUGAUAGCUAUCCUGUACUAAACUGGUACCGAAGGUAUCCAAAUCAUGCCAUGCAAUUCAUUCUGUACAAAGGAGCACGAUCUAGUAGGGAUGAUUAUAAAGCCGAGUUUGCUCGUGGUCGUUUUUCUUCUACAACGGGACAAUAUUCAACUAAACUCCAAAUUUCUGCUCUCUCUUUGAGUGAUUCUGCCAUCUACUACUGCGCACUAAGACCCACUGUUUUAUAUUCUGCUCAGGCACUGAACAAAAUCUAA
Molecule: non-coding RNA, 450 nt
Organism: Polypterus senegalus (gray bichir)
Lineage: Eukaryota; Metazoa; Chordata; Cladistia; Polypteriformes; Polypteridae
Source: the annotation of a RefSeq genome assembly